AAUGAUACAUAACGACACACACAUGUCGACACAAUAGCCUGGGUGCCUUGCAGCAAUUUUGCCAAAGGGUUGGUUAUUGGGAUAUGUGGAGGCCUAAC
Molecule: small RNA, 98 nt
Filed under: marine eukaryotic metagenome
Description: t44 RNA
Rfam family: t44 RNA
About the family: This family consists of a number of bacterial RNA genes of between 135 and 170 bases in length. The t44 gene is found between the map and rpsB genes in all species in the full alignment apart from Shigella flexneri.
Source: RNAcentral